This is a long non-coding RNA of Nyctereutes procyonoides (raccoon dog), 4541 nucleotides long. RefSeq lists it as uncharacterized. Lineage: Eukaryota; Metazoa; Chordata; Mammalia; Carnivora; Canidae. The record is from RefSeq and is a predicted model, not a curated record. The transcript has 4 exons.
GGGGGGGGGGGGGCAAAUGUCCGAGCCAAGUCCGAAAGGGAAACUGAGGCAUUUAAGGAAACCGCAGCUGGGCCAGAUGUCCGCCCUCCCGGAACCAAGGGGAGGUAAAACGUCAUGGCAGCAGGACACUGAGAUUUCUGGACCCAAGUUACAGCCUCCGGAAAACUGAGAAUGGAACUCAGCAGGCGUGGAUGCGCCGAGGGGCUUGAAGGGAAGUGAAAGGGGAGCCGAAGGAGCACCGGGGACCGGCCGCGGCGCCCACGCUGGGACACAGGACUGCGAGAGCAACAAUUGUUUUCAACAGAAAGAGUCUCAACUACGCUGAAGUUCUCUCGGAUCAUUUUGUAAGCUCUGCUCUCAGGCAUAUGCCGAGAUGAACCACCAGGAAUGCAGAAGACCCAUGGGCCCGUGGGUUGGCUAGCUCCUUAGAGGGAGAGGGUUUAAUGAAACUGAAGACCUUAGAUACGCAAAAGAGAAAACUUGAGGGGCAUCAUCACCAUGCUCGAAUACUUGAUGUGCUGCCACGAGGAAAGAGGAAACAGAAGUAUUCUUUGUGAUAAAAGAGAACCAACUCUUCAAGUUACAGGAAAUUGUUAUUUAUAGAUGUUAUAUAUGCACACACCUAAAUAAAGAAGUGAAAGACUUAUACUAAUGAAGGAAACUAAAUAAGACACAGAUAAAUAGACAUUCGAUGUCCAUGGAUCAGAAGAAUUCAAAUUGUUAAAAUAUCCAAACUACCCAAGGUGAUCUACAGACUCAAGGCAAUCCCUAUCAAAAUCCCAAUAUCAUUCUUUACAGAGAUAGAAACAAUCCUAAAAUUCACAUGAAACCACAAGAGUCCCUAAUGUAAACCAUAAUUUGGGGUGAGAAUGAUGUGUCAGUGUUGGUUCAUCUUUUGUAACAAAUACUGGUGUGGGCUGUUAAUAGAGGAGGAAGCUGUGCAUGUAUAGGGGCAGGAGGUAUAUGGGAACUCUAUGUACCUUCUACUCAAUUUUGCUAUGAACCUGAAACUGCCCUAACAAAUAAUUUUACUUGAAAACCCCCACAAUAGAGGCACCUGGGUGGCUCAGGGGUUGAGUGUCUACCUUCAGCUCAGGUUCUAUCCUGGAGACCCGGGAUCCAGUCCCACAUCAGGCUCCCCGCAGGGAACCUGCUUCUCCUUCCACCUGUGUCUCUGCUUCUCUGUGUCUUUCAUGAAUAAAUAAAUAAAAUCUUUUUUAAAAAUCCCACAAUAUUCCUGAACUUCUAUGUAUCUAAUAACACAGCUUGUUGUAAGAUGUAAGGAUAAAAAGAUAUGUUUUAGAAGAUUAAAAAAAAAACAAAAUAUAAGGAAUAUUGUAAGAAGAGAUACAUAAGAGGCAAAAGUUGGCAGAACUAAGAGAAGAAAUAGAAAAAUACACCAUCAUUUUUUCAUUGGAUAUUUCUUUUUUCUUUUUUUUCCACAAUCAUCAUUGGAUAUUUUAACAAUCUUCUCUCAGUAAGUGUUCAACAAGUAGACAAAAAAAUAAGUAAGGACAUAAAAGAUUUAAUCAACAUAGUAAGUAACCAAUACCUGUUUGUGAGGUAAGUGAAUAGAUUCCUAAAGAAAUUUUGCAUAAAUUUUACUGUGCGUCUUUGGGUAGAUGAGUUGACAGAGUGGGGGACAGUAGGAUAUCCUGGUAGACAUCCUUGGGUCUCUUACAAAGGAUCAAAGGAGAGUACAGGUACCGCACACUACUGCCAGGGGUAUGGGCUCCACUGUGUCUAAGCCCAUACAGCAGUCAUGAUAAAAAAUAAAAAAAAAAGAACAACAACAACAAAAAAAAACACAAAACACUUGGACUUAGAAAAUCAAGUGAAAUAGAUAGUAAAUAUAAACUGUAUUUAUAAGUUGGUUGUUUUCCCUGAAUACUGAGCACACUUGCACGAUCUCUACCGCCAUAGUCCUACAGAGAUUUAUGUUAAGUCUUUGAAUUGGGAGACAAAAUAUUCUACUUUUGAAAGUCGAACAAGAAAGAAGCCACACAGUGGUGGAUGGGAUGCCCUAUUCUUGGGCUGAUAUCUUGCAGGUGCAUUAUUCUGGGACCUCAGGCUUCCCAGGCUGAAGUCUCCCAACAGAUGAGAAAGAUCCUUAGCAGCGAGGUUCCUGGGGGGCCUCGGGUGAUUAUUUGGGGCACAUACAGAGCUUUCCGAAUGAUCCAGGAGAGGGCAAGGCGGCAAGCAUACCUCCGGGUUUCUCCUGCGUAUUUGCUGGUCAUUCUGUCUGUCUGGCAGGACGGAUAAACACGGCCAGAGACCUCAGAAGACGGCACCAGCGGAAUCCAUUCUGUGUGGCUCAUUUGAGACUUCCAGGGUCCCCAGAGGUGGUCACAGCCUUCGUCUCUAGAGAGGGACUCGGCCAAAUCUCAAAACCCGGCAUCUGAGAUGCGCCUUCUGAACCAGUGACUCAGGUUCCCUCCGGCUCCGCCAUCCCUGCUCUGCUCCCAAGGGAAGGCGAGCAGCCCGGGGCAAUCCGGAGAGAAGAGCGGGUCUUGGACGCUUGACGUGACCUGGAAGAGCGGAAAGGGUAAGGUGAGGCCCUGGAGGGGCCCCUGGAAGUGAGACUUGGGGGCGGUUCUUGGCGGUCCCACUCAGAGCCACAGGACCGACCUCGGACAGAUGCACGCUGAGCUCCAGGUGUCCCUGCAGUCCCUGGCUCUGCCUCGCGGCCCCUAGGGGGUUGCCCAUAAGGUGUACCUGCACUUGCUCCUGGGCUGGGCACUCCUGGGGUACCCUCGCCCCUCUGUCGUCAGUCUGUCCAUCAGUCCGUCCUCCGGGGCGGCCAAGACAUGUCCAGCAGGAGACUGAGGGAGGUAGCUGCUCAGCAGCUCAGGGACGGGCCUCCAGCAGCAGGCUGCCCAGCGAAGGACAGCACCCAACUCCCAAGGGGCGCCCAGAGUCUCGGGAUGGGCUGGAGGUCAGGAUCCCAGGAUCGACUCCCUAAGGAGGGCUCGCGCCUUCUGGCUUUAAGGCAAUGUUCCCAGAGGGUGUGCUGGGCGUAACUGGGAGACAUGGACACCAAAUCCCUAUGCAUAUUACAUACAGAUAUGAACCCAGGCACCCGGGCUUCUCAAGGCUUCGGGAAGGAGUUACAGGCUCAUGUCAGUGGCUGGUGUUGGGCCCUAACUGGCCUGGGCCCUAAAUGUGGCUUCUUACUCUAGUCAACCUCAACAGUUUUGAACUGGAUACUUCUUAACUGUGGGAGUCCAGGGCCCUGCAUAUUUGGGAUGUUUUUAGCAUCACUGGCCUUUACCCACUGGGUACCAGUAAUACUGUACCAGUUAUGACAACUGAAAAUAUCUCCAGACAUUCUCAAUGUUCCCUAGGAGGCAAAAAUCAUCCUUAAGUUCUCAGGGUACAACUAAUAUGUCCCACUGUGUGGUGUGUCUCCUCAACAGUGCCUUUUGAAGGUCAAAGUUUUCAAAUUUUGAUGAAGUACAACUAAUCACAUUUUUCUUUUAUGGAUCAUGCUUUUGGUGUUGCAUCUAAAAAAAAAAAAUCUUUCCGUGAUACAAGGUGACAAAGAUUUCAUUCUAAAUAUUUUGUAGUUUUGGUUUGUGAUCCAUUUUGAGUUAAUUUUUUUAUGUGGCAUGAAGUAAGGAUCAAAAUUAUUUUUUGACUUUUUUUUGUUGACAGACUACAUUUCUAAAGUACAUUUAUCAUGACCACUCAGUAACGUAUAGAAUUGUUGAAUACUAUAUUGUACACUUGAAACUAAUAUAAUGCUGUAUGUUAACUAUACUGGAAUUAAAAUUAAAAACAAUAAAAAUAAAUUUAAAACGGCUACCUUUCUCUACUGAAUUGCCUUUAAAACUUUGUCAACCAUCAAUUGGUAAUAUAUGUGUGGUUCUAUCUCUGUAUUCCUGUUCUAUAGGUCUUUUUUUUUUAAUUUUAAUGCCAAUACUGCAGUCUUUUUUUUCGAUACUACAGUCUUGAUUAUAGUAGCUUUUAUACAUCUUGAUGUCAGGCAGAGUGAGUUUGCUCUAACUUUAUUAUUCUUUUAAAAGUUGUUUUGAGCAUGCUAUGUCUGAAUUUUCAUGUGAAUUUAGGAAUCAGCUGGUCUGUUUCUAAAAACAAAACAAAGCCAGAGGUGCCUGGCUGGCUCCGUUGGAAGGCAUGUGACUCUUGACAUUGAGAUUGUGAGUUCAAGCCCCACAUUGGUGUUGGGGCCAGGCGGGAAGAGAAACUCCUCAAGAUGGCGGAUACCCCAAAUGGCUGAGGUUCCUGUCACCACCUCCACCUGGGACGCCAAUGGACCAAUGACCUGCUGACAGCUUGACGCAGACCCUUAGACCUCUCCUUUGGACUUACCCAACCGGACCCAAUGCCCUUCAAACCCCAGAGGAGGAAGUCACCUUUGACUGACCGAAUUGCAAUCCUUCCUUUGCAUGGGGAGGGUCACUCUGACUGGUUGGAUUGCAAUCCUUCCUUUGCAUAUGAGCCGACCAAUAGGAAACCGUUCUGCCUUACAACGUUACGUAAACCCCCUGCCACCUUGUCUUGGCGCGACUUCCCCGACUCAC